RNAcentral lists this ribosomal RNA (399 nucleotides) under Bacillus cereus. RNAcentral describes it as "bacterial SSU rRNA". It matches the Rfam family "Bacterial small subunit ribosomal RNA", at positions 55 to 444 of the family's 1533-position model. The record is from RNAcentral. Lineage: Bacteria; Bacillati; Bacillota; Bacilli; Caryophanales; Bacillaceae.
AUGCAGUCGAGCGAUGGAUUAAGAGCUUGCUCUUAUGAAGUUAGCGGCGGACGGGUGAGUAACACGUGGGUAACCUGCCCAUAAGACUGGGAUAACUCCGGGAAACCGGGGCUAAUACCGGAUAACAUUUUGAACCGCAUGGUUCGAAAUUGAAAGGCGGCUUCGGCUGUCACUUAUGGAUGGACCCGCGUCGCAUUAGCUAGUUGGUGAGGUAACGGCUCACCAAGGCAACGAUGCGUAGCCGACCUGAGAGGGUGAUCGGCCACACUGGGACUGAGACACGGCCCAGACUCCUACGGGAGGCAGCAAUAGGGAAUCUUCCGCAAUGGACGAAAGUCUGACGGAGCAACGCCGCGUGAGUGAUGAAGGCUUUCGGGUCGUAAAACUCUGUUGUUAGGG